Molecule: ribosomal RNA, 497 nt
Filed under: uncultured bacterium
Lineage: Bacteria
Description: partial 16S ribosomal RNA
Rfam family: Bacterial small subunit ribosomal RNA
Source: RNAcentral
GAUGAACGCUGGCGGCGUGCCUAAUACAUGCAAGUCGAGCGAACAGACGAGGAGCUUGCUCCUCUGACAUUAGCGGCGGACGGGUGAGUAACACGUGGAUAACCUACCUAUAAGACUGGGAUAACUUCGGGAAACCGGAGCUAAUACCGGAUAAUAUAUUGAACCGCAUGAUUCAAUAGUGAAAGACGGUUUUGCUGUCACUUAUAGAUGGAUCCGCGCCGCAUUAGCUAGUUGGUAAGGUAACGGCUUACCAAGGCGACGAUGCGUAGCCGACCUGAGAGGGUGAUCGGCCACACUGGAACUGAGACACGGUCCAGACUCCUACGGGAGGCAGCAGUAGGGAAUCUUCCGCAAUGGGCGAAAGCCUGACGGAGCAACGCCGCGUGAGUGAUGAAGGUCUUCGGAUCGUAAAACUCUGUUAUUAGGGAAGAACAAAUGUGUAAGUAACUAUGCACGUCUUGACGGUACCUAAUCAGAAAGCCACGGCUAACUACGUG